UACUGGCGCAACCGCGUCCCACCACCAACCUAGGCCUCGCGGGCUCCACGCCCAACCCUAGUCCCCUUUGGGGACAGCCGCACCGGCUGUGGCCACCGCACCGCGGACACCCACGGUGGACUGGAAGGCCCUCCCACAGCCCCCGAUGGGAAGGAAAGCGAAGCAGCACAUGGCCCCUUUUGGGAACCGUCGUCGCAGCAGUAGCAGCGCUAGGAAGAACCUCCACAACUAUCCACGGCCGCGAAGCCUCAGAACCUCGGAUCACCUUCCAGGGCUACCCGCGUCGCUAGCGCUCCGAAGAAGCAAAAACAACUAGACGGCAAUAGGUUGUCGAGGAGCGGCGACGUGUAUACGUACUUACGUAGUUAAGGAGGAGGUCCUCGAGGAGGCCGUCAUUUUUAGUUUAGAACCCGUCGCUGCUGUGACCUCCCUCUCCGUCGCUCUACACUGCCCUCCCCUAGCUCUCUACAUCUGUUCUCUCUCUACGCCCACUCUCCCUUUGCAGCCACGCCCGCCGUGCCGCCUCCGCUGGCAACCACCCCCGCUACGCCGUCUCCGCUCGCCGCCACGACCGUACUCUCACCCUCCCCUUGUUCACUACGCCCGCUCUCCCACUCUCCUGGCCCCGUUGUGGGACCUGUACGGUAGCUUGAGGUCUAGACCGUGGGGUGGUGCUUACUUUGUGGCUUCCUCCUUUGGUAUGGACGGUAGGUGCUUGGUGUUCGGGUCGUGUACGAGGCAGAAAGUCUACAGCAGCUACGUAUGGUGUUAGACGUAGGCGAGGAUCUGAUGGAGGGUUCGAGGCGCGGCUGCGCCCUCGUUUGCGGCAGCGUUGCCGCCUCGGACUCCUGUGUGCAGGUAGUGCUCCUACGGCGGCGGCGGUGCGGUAGGAAUGAACUUGUCUGACUUUUUUGCUAGGUGUGCAUACCUAGGCCGCUGAGAGGAGUGGUGGCUGUUGGUUCCCGCGGCCGCUUCUUUUCGGCGGCCUCUUGCCGCAACCUUUUAGUCGGAGGGGACCGGCGCCGAUCCCAAGGUCGGCAGUCCCUGUCCUUUUUGUCGCUACAUGAUGAUCAUGAGGAGCACGAUCAUCAGGCAAAUCUUAGAGAUGAGGAUUACCUCGUCAACUAAUUGGUCGCUUUUGGUCGCUUGUUUUUUAGCCUGCUGCGGGAUCGAGGGAGGCGGGCGCCCAGCGGGCGAGGGAGCGCGGGGACAACGAGGGAGGAGCUAGGGCUAGACCUAGCUCCCCUGCUCCUCGAGGACGGAGGGGCUGCCGGCUGGAGGAGGAGCGGGGCGGCGACGCAGGCCGCGGCGGUGCCAGAGACCUCGGUCCCUUCGGUACCGGACUCGAGCCGGAGCUCCAGGGGCGGCGGCAGAGGACGUCGAAGACGGGGCGGCGGAGUGGCGGGCUCGAGCGGCAGCGUGGUUGGAGCCGCGGCGCGGCGGCGGCCGAGACCAGCGGAGGUGGAGGCGCGGCACUCCUUGGGCGGUGUGCGCAGUUCCGCUCCGCGGAGGACCCGAGGCAGGCAAAGGUCUCGCUCGCGGGCGCUUAUGGAUCGAUCGGCGGCGGCAGCACUGGCAAGGUCGGUGGCGGUUCGGGGUCGAGAAGUGCCCGUCCCUCUCUUCCCCCCGUACUAGCCGCCCCGUCUCAAGAAAGCCUUCCUGUCGCACCACCCGUUGUACCUGCCUAUGGAGUCGAUGGACAGGGAGCUCAUACUGAAGCAGAGCCUGUGGUUAGGACGAACCCAUAGAAGUAAAACCUUCGUCCUCAGGAAAGGAGUAUUCUACCUACUCGACAUCCUAAACUAAGACAAGUCGAACUUAAUCAAAAAGUAGUAGUACAAGAAACAUAAUCCUUAAGUACGGAAGGUCGAGAUUAAAAAAGCGUAACAAUCACAUACGACCCUCAGUGUAAUAAUACGACGAUCGUUUGUCAUCCUAACCUUCAGAAUGAGACAUCCAAUCAUUAUAGAAAAGGUGAUAUGGCUCCAAGUCGUUAAAUUAAGCAUAAUUCCAGUGUGUUCGUCAAACCAAAAGUCUAAACAGAACUGUUUGUAUAAACCAAGUCGUUAAAUUAAGUAUAAUUUCAGUGUGUUCGUCAAACCAAAAAUCUAAACAGAACUGUUUGUAUAAAACGUCUAAUAGGAGUGUAUACUUUAACUAAAGACGUUCAAGGAAAGUGAAGAAUAAAUAAAGAAGUGAACCAAUACUACAUGACGAUAAGCAAAAGUACUACUAAGUACGCAAAACAUCAAAAGUGACUGUCUUAGAACAGAACUUUGUUCUAACCAAGGGUAACAAUGUCACUUCAUCGAUGGUUCGUCGCUCCGGUAGCUCACUGUGCUCUGGCGCCCUGCCGCACUCUUCUUCGUCCCCCACAGACCGCCCUACCUCUUCUGGUGUCCCUUCACACCGCUACCUCACGUUAGGGCUUCUUCUUCUUGUAACGUUUCUUUCUGGGACCGGUUCACGGUGGGUUAAGAGAAAGUGGCUGGGUAGAUUACCGGUAGUUAAGUUAACCAGGUUCGACAACACAACUGGAAGGGUAACUAGGUGAUGUAGGAGCGAGUCGACCAAGACGAUACAAAGAAGAGGUACCGUAACGACCAACGGCCGCACGGACUGUAGCGCGGAAUACACUGCACUGUACUACGAGGAGAUGCACAAGAAGAGUGGGGCCAAAGGUACUCCUCUCUACAACAAGACACCAAGACAUCAAGAUGAGGUAUCGUUACUACCUCAGUGGAGGUAUACCUAUCGUUAAUAGAGCCCUAGUACUCUCGACAGAUGCGUUGCCGGUCCCCCGUAUACGAAGAGGAUCGUGAUUCUGGAGGUAGGAUAAACUCGGUCUUACCGAAACCACGGGAGAGAGCGAGUACCACUCCGGCACGUACGAACGGUACAACACCGAUGCUUUAGAGUCUGACUCAGCGAAGCCAGCCCGUGAUAAGUCCCCUUAUAAACAAGUCUUAGAAGUCAGAACAUUAAAAGAGGAACUACUGUUACUGGUACGACACGACCCCCUAAACCCUAAGGUAGGAACGACAAACCUGAAGGCGACGGUUUAGGUCUAGAAUAGGUUUCUGAACCCUGAGGUUUAAUGUACGGGGUCUUGUAACCGCUGGUUUGUAGUCUCCGGGUUAAUCAAUGCUCUGACUGAGCAACCCCAAAGCGAACCUCGUAAGAACUCUACAAGUCACCGCAAGUCUGAACCACACGGUUUAGUGGUCUACUCUAAAUAGUCAGUCAACAGGACUUCUUUCUCUUUGGCUACAAGGACAUGUUAAAUGGAUGCCUCCAGCGAUUACAGGAGAGACCGACGAUACUCAUACUUAAAGCCCUAGUGAGGAACUACAAUCUAUAGAAUGUCAGUAAACUUUACAUUGUACGAUUUUGAGACAAAGACGAAGACGGAACAAUUGAAUGUAUUAAACCAAUUUGACGGUACCUACCCACUAAAAUGGUAUAAAGUAAAAGUAUAAACGAAUAUAAUAUAACAUGUUUGAUGAUUCGUAAUAACUUCAAACAGUGUACUUUCGUACCUUGACGAAAGAAUCGACACAGCAAAUAUCAGUAUAUACCAGUUACGUCCAAAUAAAAGGAGGUCUCAAAUGAAAAUGAUACAGGACCAUGACCAAAAGAGACGUCCAAAGAGAUGUAAUCGAAACACAUAAGUUAAAAAAACAAGGACUGUUCUUCACGUAACGUGUACGUGUGAAUAUACUUGUUCGGAAUGUACUAAACGAGAAAAUGACUACCUGACUCCUCCAGUCUCUACAUAUUGUCGGCAUAACUAGGUUUACUGUUCAUGCCGUCACGAUUGGACGAAUGGAUCUUAAAAUGGUGUAGGAUUCUGAACGUUUAGACAUAUUAUCCUUACCGAUCGACAAAAGACCAGAUGUUGGCACUGUAGACCACCGUAGAGAGUGGUACAGAAGUGUAUCACAAAUCAGUACUAAGAACGUAUGACAGCUCUGAGCUCUUCCCGCACUGUAAAAAAGGACUUGACUAAAGAUUAAAAAAAAACGAAUGGCCAACUCGAGCCAAAGUUGAGAAUGGACUCAUCAACUAUCCUUUCGGACUACGUCCACAUACCUUUAAUACGUUAAGGUACUCCAAACCUCAACAGGUCAUAUGAUGACUCCGGAUGUAUAAAACGACUACGUCCAACCUCCACUGUGUACUUGCGACCGUUGCGUUUUAUCGUCUAUAUUUUAUUGACGUCGAGUCCGGUACAUCAAGAUGUUGUUGGUUCCUUCUUCAGGCAAAAAAUUCGGCUGGAACCGGUUCGUAAAUUCGAAUAUACCAACGAGAGAUAAAAAGUCUCCACGCACAUGACUCCUGCGGGUACUAAAUCCCGGUUUUUAGAUCUGUUUCACUGUUUUGAAACAUGCUCUGAAUGAACUUCGGUUCCUCCAGUCCCCUCCUCCUGUUGUUCCGACCCCUCGCCUCCGCCUCUGGCUGCCCCUUCUCUUACUAGUUCGUACAUUUAGAUCUCGUGUUCGAGCACUAAAUAGUUCCCUCACCGCGACGGCGGCCUAAUCUUUUAGUAUAGAGUGCAAUUCCACAAAAACAGAAAACAAAGACAUGUUUAAACCACGUCCGUUCAAAAACUACUAUAUAUAUUCUACUGAUCGUAAUAGAAAAAUAACUCACGUACAAGACCAUCGUAAUAGAUGAAUCUUUUUUAACGAUAUACGCACAUCACUUAUUAUAGACAUCCGCCAAAGGGUG
This 4731-nucleotide ribosomal RNA is filed under the name Triticum aestivum (bread wheat). RNAcentral's name for it is "partial small subunit ribosomal RNA". Lineage: Eukaryota; Viridiplantae; Streptophyta; Magnoliopsida; Poales; Poaceae. The record is from RNAcentral.